Molecule: non-coding RNA, 745 nt
Organism: Phascolarctos cinereus (koala)
Lineage: Eukaryota; Metazoa; Chordata; Mammalia; Diprotodontia; Phascolarctidae
Source: RefSeq, a predicted model, not a curated record
AAAAGACAGUGCCUGUCUCCAAGGAGCUCCUGAUCUAAGGAGGGACACGACAGACAAACAACUGUAUCAACAGCAUAUACACAGGCUAAGAGAUUACAUUUGGAAUGGAAACUGGAAGUGCUCCAAGGGAAACAAUUCUCAUCAUUCUCCAGCAUUACAUCUCAGUACAUAUCCUUCUGAGAAUAUUCCAAUAGCUCCUAACUCCUUCCAGAGAGCUGAUUGUUAAACAUUUACCAGCACAUCUGUGGAGUUCAUUGGAGUUAAAAAGAUUAAAGAAUGGAGAAUGUGGUUUGUUUCAGGGACCAUCAACAUAAAUAUCAAAGUUCCUGAGGUUGCUGGCCACAAACGGACUGGAGAGGAAGACCACAUGCCAAAUAUUAAAGUUCUUACAGAAAUUGGGAAGGUAACUGGAAAGUCAACAAGAAUAAAGACGAUGUCAACAAGGAUAAAGAAAGGAAUGUUAGAGAUGGACUGCAGUUCUAUAACUUGGUUUAUAGCUGUUGGUAGUUUGAUAUAACACUAAAUCUGUGAAAUGAUUUAGGUAAUAUCAUUUCUAUUCUAUCAGACAGUUGCAACCAUGAACAAUGAAUGUCUCUACAAUUGUCCCCCCAGCCCCCCACUGCUUGUGCCUUCCCUCAGAGAUGACCUCCAAUUUACCUUGUAUCUAUCUUGUAUGUUGUCUCCCCCAUUAGACUGUGAGCUUCUUGAGGGCAGGGACCCUGUUUUUGUCUUUCUUUGGAACCCC